RNAcentral lists this ribosomal RNA (114 nucleotides) under Paenibacillus sp. RNAcentral describes it as "partial 16S ribosomal RNA". It matches the Rfam family "Bacterial small subunit ribosomal RNA", at positions 1 to 107 of the family's 1533-position model. The record is from RNAcentral. Lineage: Bacteria; Bacillati; Bacillota; Bacilli; Caryophanales; Paenibacillaceae.
UUCUUGGAGAGUUUGAUCCUGGCUCAGGACGAACGCUGGCGGCGUGCCUAAUACAUGCAAGUCGAGCGGACUUGAUGGAGAGCUUGCUCUCCUGAUGGUUAGCGGCGGACGGGU